CCAUGGCUCCUUCUGCCUUGGUGCUGGGUAAGAGAGCAUGACCAUAUAGAGCAGCACAAACAGAAAGAACAGACAAGAGUUCCAACACAGUGUCUCAUCUCUUCCCAGGCAACCUUCCAACAAGGACAAGAGCAAGGAUGUUUUCCACUCCCAGUGCAAUUCAGAAGACUGCAGACUGACAACUAGACUAACAACAGCAAUGGCCAGUGUGACUCCAGCACUUCCUUUGGGGGUUGUGGAACUGGAUUACUUAUGACUGGAACAACAUUCCUUCCAACCCUGUUCAACCAAGAAAAAAGGGCUUACCUGCCAGUCAGGGGAUCCAAGCCUGAGGAAGGAGUCCUGGAGCUUGUUGCUGCUAGCAUAUAUACUUCCUGCCUAAGCCAGUGAGCUGUG
This is a long non-coding RNA of Zootoca vivipara (common lizard), 396 nucleotides long. RefSeq lists it as uncharacterized. The record is from RefSeq and is a predicted model, not a curated record. NCBI's taxonomy places the organism in Eukaryota, Metazoa, Chordata, Lepidosauria, Squamata, Lacertidae.